GAAGGUGGCCUGUGAGGGUUGCUGGAGGUAUCAGAAGUGCGAAUGCUGACAUAAGUAACGAUAAAGCGGGUGAAAAGCCCGCUCGCCGGAAGACCAAGGGUUCCUGUCCAACGUUAAUCGGGGCAGGGUGAGUCGACCCCUAAGGCGAGGCCGAAAGGCGUAGUCGAUGGGAAACGGGUUAAUAUUCCCGUACUUGGUGUUACUGCGAAGGGGGGACGGAGAAGGCUAUGUUGGCCGGGCGACGGUUGUCCCGGUUUAAGCGUGUAGGUGUGUGUUCCAGGUAAAUCCGGUUCACUUUAACACUGAGGCGUGACGACGAGGCACUACGGUGCUGAAGCAACAAAUGCCCUGCUUCCAGGAAAAGCCUCUAAGCAUCAGGUAACAUCAAAUCGUACCCCAAACCGACACAGGUGGUCAGGUAGAGAAUACCAAGGCGCUUGAGAGAACUCGGGUGAAGGAACUAGGCAAAAUGGUGCCGUAACUUCGGGAGAAGGCACGCUGACACGUAGGUGAAGUGAUUUACUCAUGGAGCUGAAGUCAGUCGAAGAUACCAGCUGGCUGCAACUGUUUAUUAAAAACACAGCACUGUGCAAACACGAAAGUGGACGUAUACGGUGUGACGCCUGCCCGGUGCCGGAAGGUUAAUUGAUGGGGUCAGCGCAAGCGAAGCUCCUGAUCGAAGCCCCGGUAAACGGCGGCCGUAACUAUAACGGUCCUAAGGUAGCGAAAUUCCUUGUCGGGUAAGUUCCGACCUGCACGAAUGGCGUAAUGAUGGCCAGGCUGUCUCCACCCGAGACUCAGUGAAAUUGAACUCGCUGUGAAGAUGCAGUGUACCCGCGGCAAGACGGAAAGACCCCGUGAACCUUUACUAUAGCUUGACACUGAACAUUGAGCCUUGAUGUGUAGGAUAGGUGGGAGGCUUUGAAGCGUGGACGCCAGUCUGCGUGGAGCCGACCUUGAAAUACCACCCUUUAAUGUUUGAUGUUCUAACGUGGACCCGUUACCCGGGUUGCGGACAGUGUCUGGUGGGUAGUUUGACUGGGGCGGUCUCCUCCUAAAGAGUAACGGAGGAGCACGAAGGUUGGCUAAUCCUGGUCGGACAUCAGGAGGUUAGUGCAAUGGCAUAAGCCAGCUUGACUGCGAGCGUGACGGCGCGAGCAGGUGCGAAAGCAGGUCAUAGUGAUCCGGUGGUUCUGAAUGGAAGGGCCAUCGCUCAACGGAUAAAAGGUACUCCGGGGAUAACAGGCUGAUACCGCCCAAGAGUUCAUAUCGACGGCGGUGUUUGGCACCUCGAUGUCGGCUCAUCACAUCCUGGGGCUGAAGUAGGUCCCAAGGGUAUGGCUGUUCGCCAUUUAAAGUGGUACGCGAGCUGGGUUUAGAACGUCGUGAGACAGUUCGGUCCCUAUCUGCCGUGGGCGCUGGAGAACUGAGGGGGGCUGCUCCUAGUACGAGAGGACCGGAGUGGACGCAUCACUGGUGUUCGGGUUGUCAUGCCAAUGGCACUGCCCGGUAGCUAAAUGCGGAAGAGAUAAGUGCUGAAAGCAUCUAAGCACGAAACUUGCCCCGAGAUGAGUUCUCCCUGAGACUUAGAGUCUCCUGAAGGAACGUUGAAGACGACGACGUUGAUAGGCCGGGUGUGUAAGCGCAGCGAUGCGUUGAGCUAACCGGUACUAAUGAACCGUGAGGCUUAACCUU
This 1695-nucleotide ribosomal RNA is filed under the name Salmonella enterica. Its description in RNAcentral is "partial 23S ribosomal RNA". It matches the Rfam family "Bacterial large subunit ribosomal RNA", at positions 1252 to 2925 of the family's 2925-position model. The record is from RNAcentral. RNAcentral also lists the same sequence under 2 other names. Lineage: Bacteria; Pseudomonadati; Pseudomonadota; Gammaproteobacteria; Enterobacterales; Enterobacteriaceae.